UAGCUCAGCUGGAUAGAGUAGUGGCUUCCGAAGCCAUUGGUCACAGGUUCGAAUCCU
This 57-nucleotide transfer RNA is filed under the name gamma proteobacterium IMCC2047. RNAcentral describes it as "tRNA-Pro". It matches the Rfam family "tRNA", at positions 8 to 61 of the family's 71-position model. From Rfam's summary of the family: Transfer RNA (tRNA) molecules are approximately 80 nucleotides in length. Their secondary structure includes four short double-helical elements and three loops (D, anti-codon, and T loops). The record is from RNAcentral. Lineage: Bacteria; Pseudomonadati; Pseudomonadota; Gammaproteobacteria.